RNAcentral lists this long non-coding RNA (2399 nucleotides) under Olea europaea subsp. europaea. Lineage: Eukaryota; Viridiplantae; Streptophyta; Magnoliopsida; Lamiales; Oleaceae. The record is from RNAcentral.
GCAUGCCUGUAUAAAUUGGGUGUGUUAUUAAGGUGUACAGUUCAAGAGAAUAAUUUUGUAUACAUGCCAUUGCUGUUGCCUCUAGUUAUCGGCUUUACAUGCCAGAAAUACGGGCGUGAAAGAAUCUGACUGCAGUCAUUUCACGAGCUCUUCAGAUAUAUCUGGUUAAUUUAAGGCUUUGAGCAUUAAGAGCAUAUUUGAUGAACAUUAUUGGACAUCACUAGAUAGUACACAAUAGACAAAAAUUGUAACUUUCUGUUCUAUCUAAAUAUUAUUUAUUACUGGGAAAUUAACUUUACCAAAUAUUCCAUAGGUGUAUAGAAGGCUUUUUUGGCACUUGGGAUAUGAUAUCUGAUGCUCGGACUAUUCGAAAUGGUCGGAGUAAUCGUGUCGUGUCUAUGGUUAUGGGAUAUGUAUCGGAGCCUCCAAAUUUCAACCGGACACUUUGCCAUUUUUGCUUGCUCUUCUUUUUUCUUUCUUUUCGUGUUCUUUUCUGUUUCUAUUCUCUAUAAACCUAGUGUCGCCUUCGAGAGAAUUGAGAAAGUCGAUGGCACUAGGUUUUCCCUUCCUCUUCUUCUUUCUUUUUUAUUUCCCUCCAUAUAGUGUUACUUAGUGCUCUACUUCAAGUCCUUCAUUUUCUAUUUUAUGUAACAUUUAGUAAUUACCUUCCCAUAAUUGAAAAUUAAAUUUCAAAAUUCUAUUUUAUUCAUCUUAAUCUCUUAUUCAAUACUCAUUUCCUUCUUUGUCAACAAUUGAUUUUGGUUUAUUCAAAAUGAUAUCUUGAGUUAGUAAAAAAAUUGAAGUUUGAAAGGCGUACCCAUGUAGCUGUGUCUGAAAUUUAGACUCUUUUUAACUAUGUCUUCAUAUUCUACAUUUUAGAAAAUAAUAGAUUCAACUAAACCCGAGUUCGAGCAUCAGAGGAUAUGAUGAAUUUUGUUAUGAAACCUGUUUUGAUUAAGGUGCUUGUUGGACUUUAUUUCCCAAAGAAGUGGCAAUGUCAAUGACAAACUCUGUUCUAUAUGGGGGGAUGCUGUUUCUGGAAGUAGCUUGAAAAUUGAAGAUGAUGUUGUGAAAAUAUAAGCUUUUAAUUGUGGUGAUGGUUUACUUUAUUAAGACAUUUGUGGUGAUUGUGUGCUGCCGGUGCUGGAAGAGGAGGUUGUUCCACGUGAUUCUGAUGAUGUUGGCAUAAGGUGAGCAUCUUCUCGGUGCUUUUUAUUUUUCUUUUCAGCAAAUCUUGCCAAUGUCCUAGUUCAGAAACCACGCAAAUACUUCCAUAGUUUGUAGCUGCAUCUUAUUAUGUCCGAUAGAGUACUAGUAGUAACAGUAAUAUGCUCUGGUAAAGAAAAUAGAAUUCUUUAGCAUUUUCUGUUUUUACUCGUCAGUUUCCUGCUUAUAUUUCGAACCAUUGGAUAUACUAUCUCUUCAUCUCAUACUUUUAUCAGAAUAUCAUGUGUGUCCACAGUGAGUUGAAGGGUUAAAUGUCCCUGUUAUUAGUUGUUAGUAGUUAAUCUUUCAGAAUUUGUCAUCAUUUUCAUAAUUGAUUGUUCUAUUACAUAGUUUUCAAAGUUAUCAUCACCGUAUAUGUUUUUCAAAUUUUUUUUUUGGGAAAAAUCUGGAGCUGAAAGGUUCUAAUUUGAAGCAUUGAAAAUUGAUGUCAAUCUGAUGUUGGCAAUGCUAUCUUUGCAGAAAAUCACUGGAAGCUAUUCAAGGAUGAUUUUGUCUCCCAUUCGCUGAUGGAAAAUUGAGGUAAUAUCUUGGGAUGGUCCUUGACUGGGAUGAAUCACAUAUCUAGAUAUGAAUUGAUUGGGGAUAUUUAUUUGUAUUCAUUAGGAAGAUACGGAGUGGAGGGAGGGAAAUUUUCUACAGCCAUUCUGUUGUCAGUGGUGUUAAUCUAGAGUCUUUAUUUGCAAUGCUGAAUUUAGUGAAGGGAGGAUAACACUAGGGACCAGUCACGUUUUUCACAAAGGAAACAGGAAAAAUUUAGAAAUUACACAUUGUUUUCCAAUUUUUUGAUGUAUUCAACCAUAUUUCUAGGUGAUGGAGGUAAAGAGUGGAUCUUGACCUCUUAGCCGAGGAAAUAAUUAGCCUUGGUUUCCUCUAGUUGUAUAGUUGUGUUUUUCUUCCUUGCUUACACAUUUACCCUUCUCAUACUACCCACUCCAUUUCUAGAACUUGAUAACUAAAGAGUUCACAGAUAUUCGCCGUUCAUCUUCUUUGUAUCAUUCCAUGUUUGUCCUGUUGUACACUGACAACUGAUUUUAUGAAAAUGGAUGGCAAGUGACCAUCGUGGGCGAUGGUUCCAUGUUUGUCCUGUUGUACAUUGACAACUGAUUUUAUGAAAAUGGAUGGCAAGUGACCAUCGUGCGCGAUGGAGGGCCACGGAUUAAUUUCAUGAUGAC